GAACGCGAAGAACUUUACCAGGUCUUGACAUCCUUUGACAAUCCUAGAGAUAGGACUUUCCCUUCGGGGACAAAGUGACAGGUGGUGCAUGGUUGUCGUCAGCUCGUGUCGUGAGAUGUUGGGUUAAGUCCCGCAACGAGCGCAACCCCUGUGGUUAGUUGCCAUCAUUUGGUUGGGCACUCUAAGCAGACUGCCGUGGAUAACACGGAGGAAGGUGGGGACGACGUCAAAUCAUCAUGCCCCUUAUGACCUGGGCUACACACGUGCUACAAUGGUCUGAACAGAGGGCUGCGAAACCGCGAGGUGAAGCUAAUCCCUUAAAACAGAUCUCAGUUCGGAUUGCAGGCUGCAACUCGCCUGCAUGAAGUUGGAGUUGCUAGUAAUCGCAGAUCAGAAUGCUGCGGUGAAUGCGUUCCCGGGUCUUGUACACACCG
This 434-nucleotide ribosomal RNA is filed under the name uncultured bacterium. RNAcentral describes it as "bacterial SSU rRNA". It matches the Rfam family "Bacterial small subunit ribosomal RNA", at positions 957 to 1392 of the family's 1533-position model. The record is from RNAcentral.